Molecule: small RNA, 605 nt
Filed under: Pan troglodytes (chimpanzee)
Lineage: Eukaryota; Metazoa; Chordata; Mammalia; Primates; Hominidae
Description: processed transcript
Source: RNAcentral
AUUUCCUCUCCCCUAAAGAAGCGCUCUGCUUCCUGACAAAGAUCCAGGAGAGUAGGUGGAAAAGGGGGAGUUUCAGAGCAAGCAAAGAUGAAGUUAGUUUUCAUUCUAACGGCUGAUACUUGACUGUAUUGUCUAUAGCUGAUUGAUGAAGAGGCCUUCGGAGAACUUGAUAGAAUUCUAUUCAUGCACUGAAAGAAAAAGAGCUGGGGAACGAUGCCUACAAGAAGAAAGACUUUGACACAGCCUUGAAGCAUUACGACAAAGCCAAGGAGCUGGACCCCACUAACAUGACUUACAUUACCAAUCAAGCAGCGGUAUACUUUGAAAAGGGCGACUACAAUAAGUGCCGGGAGCUUUGUGAGAAGGCCAUUGAAGUGGGGAGAGAAAACCGAGAAGACUAUCGACAGAUUGCCAAAGCAUAUGCUCGAAUUGGCAACUCCUACUUCAAAGAAGAAAAGUACAAGGAUGCCAUCCAUUUCUAUAACAAGUCUCUGGCAGAGCACCGAACCCCAGAUGUGCUCAAGAAAUGCCAGCAGGCAGAGAAAAUCCUGAAGGAGCAAGAGCGGCUGGCCUACAUAAACCCCGACCUGGCUUUGGAGGAGAAG